RNAcentral lists this ribosomal RNA (493 nucleotides) under uncultured bacterium. Its description in RNAcentral is "partial 16S ribosomal RNA". It matches the Rfam family "Bacterial small subunit ribosomal RNA", at positions 30 to 523 of the family's 1533-position model. The record is from RNAcentral.
AUUGAACGCUGGCGGCAUGCCUUACACAUGCAAGUCGAACGGUAACAGGUUAAGCUGACGAGUGGCGAACGGGUGAGUAAUAUAUCGGAACGUGCCCAGUCGUGGGGGAUAACUGCUCGAAAGAGCAGCUAAUACCGCAUACGACCUGAGGGCGAAAGCGGGGGAUCGCAAGACCUCGCGCGAUUGGAGCGGCCGAUAUCAGAUUAGGUAGUUGGUGGGGUAAAGGCCCACCAAGCCAACGAUCUGUAGCUGGUCUGAGAGGACGACCAGCCACACUGGGACUGAGACACGGCCCAGACUCCUACGGGAGGCAGCAGUGGGGAAUUUUGGACAAUGGGCGCAAGCCUGAUCCAGCCAUGCCGCGUGCGGGAAGAAGGCCUUCGGGUUGUAAACCGCUUUUGUCAGGGGAGAAAAGGUUCUGGUUAAUACCUGGGACUCAUGACGGUACCUGAAGAAUAAGCACCGGCUAACUACGUGCCAGCCGCCGCCGUAA